This is a long non-coding RNA of Malaya genurostris, 410 nucleotides long. RefSeq lists it as uncharacterized. The record is from RefSeq and is a predicted model, not a curated record. The transcript is spliced from 4 exons. Lineage: Eukaryota; Metazoa; Arthropoda; Insecta; Diptera; Culicidae.
CCAACGUGAAACGUCGGGUAGACUAAGGGAUAUUAAGUCGUUUAUCAAUUUUGUUAUCGCACUCUCAAGGGCAUACUCGAACCAACUCAUAUUCAAUCGACGCUUCUUUGAAAUGCUUUCUAAAAUCCAGUAAUGCAUGAAACGACGACUGAAUGAUUAGCUCGCUGAUCAGGAGUUAUCACAUUCGCAGCACAAAGUGGCACCGAUCGCAACUGAAGCAAAAGUGAAGACCUGUUAUCACAAAUCCUCAUGGAACAUUAGGACCAGCAUAGAGGCCGUGUUGAAUCCGGGGGCGAAAAAUUAUGAAAAUAGAGAGUAUCUUACUUCCAGUAUGAUUUGACUAAUGCGACUCCAGACUGGUUUUCUAAAAGAGUGGAUGUAUACUUGCAUGCACCUUUCUUGAAUAGAUG